GUUGCAUUUGGUGCCACGGUAUGUUCAGAUGGCGUAUGGACAAAAGGGAUGUGGUAAGAAAUACGUUCAUCAUGCAAAAGAAGAGAAGUAUGAAAUAUAUCCUGAAAUCAAAGAAUUCCCUGAUGUUAAUCUCAAACAAAAAGAAGAUUUCAGUAAAUUAAUAUGAUGGGGUGAUUGCAAAAGUUUGGGUUUCAUCUCCUUAUUAUUUGGAGGCUGCGGGUCAAGAUUCUGAAAGCUAAGAAACUUGGGCGUGAAUUAUCGGCUCAUGAAGCGUGGAAGCAAUCACACUGCAAGAAACGAAGUCGACCAUUGGAUAAAGAUCUAAGUUGUAGCAGUCACUACUUUUGGACGUUGAUUCGGAAGGGAACACUCAAGAAGAAAAUCUUGUAUGGGUUGAUGCUAGGGCAGAUGAGACUUGGGUUAAAUAUGAAGGGUUUCUUGUGGAGAAGUAUGGGAAAGAACGUAAUAAACAUCCAAAAUUUGACUGACUUGUGGUCACAAGAUGAGGGCAAGAAUAAAAGAUAAGUGCACGGGUUAUGUAAUGUUAGUGACCCUUGUGUACAUAGCAGAGAAGACCCUAAGGUAUUUUUAAUCCUUUUAAUAUGUAAACAAACUGGAACAUGCUAUUUAGUUUCUAGCACUUGAAUUGUAGCUCACAAUUGUAUUUUGUUUUCUUUGCAGCCAACUUGAC
RNAcentral lists this long non-coding RNA (691 nucleotides) under Helianthus annuus (common sunflower). Lineage: Eukaryota; Viridiplantae; Streptophyta; Magnoliopsida; Asterales; Asteraceae. The record is from RNAcentral.